RNAcentral lists this non-coding RNA (46 nucleotides) under Schistosoma mansoni. The record is from RNAcentral. Lineage: Eukaryota; Metazoa; Platyhelminthes; Trematoda; Strigeidida; Schistosomatidae.
GUACUUCUGAAGAGUCCUACAAUAGGACAAAACGGCUGUCCAGUGC